Molecule: ribosomal RNA, 497 nt
Filed under: uncultured bacterium
Lineage: Bacteria
Description: partial 16S ribosomal RNA
Rfam family: Bacterial small subunit ribosomal RNA
Source: RNAcentral
GAUGAACGCUGGCGGCGUGCCUAAUACAUGCAAGUCGAGCGAACAGACGAGGAGCUUGCUCCUCUGACGUUAGCGGCGGACGGGUGAGUAACACGUGGAUAACCUACCUAUAAGACUGGGAUAACUUCGGGAAACCGGAGCUAAUACCGUAUAAUAUAUUGAACCGCAUGGUUCAAUAGUGAAAGACGGUUUUGCUGUCACUUAUAGAUGGAUCGGCGCUGCAUUAGCUGGUUGGUAAGUUAACGGGUUACCAAGGCAACGAUGCGUAGCCGACCUGAGAGGGUGGUCGGCCACACUGGAACGGAGACACGGUCCAGACUCCUACGGGAGGCAGCAGUAGGGAAUCUUCCGCAAUGGGCGGAAGCCUGACGGAGCAACGCCGCGUGAGUGAUGAAGGUCUUCGGAUCGUAAAACUCUGUUAUUAGGGAAGAACAAAUGUGUAAGUAACUAUGCACGUCUUGACGGUACCUAAUCAGAAAGCCACGGCUAACUACGUG